Long non-coding RNA from Polistes dominula (European paper wasp), 830 nucleotides. NCBI's taxonomy places the organism in Eukaryota, Metazoa, Arthropoda, Insecta, Hymenoptera, Vespidae. The record is from RefSeq and is a predicted model, not a curated record.
AGAGAUAACACAUCGCUAGGAAAAAAUCAGCAUGGCUACCUGUCAAUGUACUUUGAAUACCCCAAAUAUAGGCUACGUGCAGUAUAAAUGAUCGCCAAUUAUGAAUGAAAAUAAUUAAACUGGAUAAAUUGCUGUGGGACAGUGUUAUGUCAUAACCUAAGAAAAAUAAUUUUCUUAAUUAAAUCCAAAAAUAGAGAUAAAUUCCAGACGUUCCCUUUAUCAAAUUAUUAUAACUAAUACUAAUCAGCAUGCAGAUCUAUAUUUUUAAUUUCAAUCCAAGAACAUUAUACGUACUCACGAGAAGAAGAAUUCAUUACACUAUUCAAUCAAUGGAGAUAUAUAUUUCAUUUUUUUACGGCUAACGAUUAGAAGAUUUGGAUUGAUUAUGUCAUCCGAACAAGAGUUUUAUUCUAUAAUAUAUGAUAAAUAGAAUGUAGGUGCACUAACAAAGAAUAAUCAAGAGAAGAAUUUGUCAAAAGGAUAGGUAAAUAAUUUGACUCGAAAUGCCUACUCAUUAUUAUCAAGAUUGUGAUAAGAAGAAUACAACAAUACUGCAACUAUGAAAGAUUGUUUAAUGCASUUUUCUUCAUCAUACUUGCACUGCGAGAAAACCAUAUGUAGUAAUAUUUUAUCAAAAGAAUACCAGAACACAUGUAUCUCUUAGUUAUCACUAAAUAAGAAAACAAGUGGCAAAUACAUUAUAUUAAGAAAUUCUAUUCAUGUCAAAAUCUUUUAUCAAGUUUUGUACACGGUAAUAGAAGAUAUUAUUUUUUUAUUAGCUGACAAGAAAAAUUGAUGUAUUUGUUAAUAAAUAUCUUAUUUGCAAGGAA